GCAUGGGUUUGAAUUUGUGGCAGAUCUGAUCCCAUGGGGCUCUCGCAGUGUCCCAUGCCAAAGCAAACUGUCACCCUAAACAAUUGCCUGGCUUUACCCGGUGGCUUUAAGGCUCUGAAGCGGGUUGCACAGUG
Small nucleolar RNA from Echinops telfairi (small Madagascar hedgehog), 134 nucleotides. RefSeq annotates it as small nucleolar RNA SNORA42/SNORA80 family. The transcript has a single exon. The record is from RefSeq and is a predicted model, not a curated record. NCBI's taxonomy places the organism in Eukaryota, Metazoa, Chordata, Mammalia, Afrosoricida, Tenrecidae.